GAUGAACGCUGGCGGUGGGCCUAAUACAUGCAAGUCGAACGGACACACGAUGAGCGCUUGCUCUUAACGGUAGCGGCUGGCGGACGGGUGAGGCAUGCAUCACCUUCUACUAUUUCUUGGAGAAUAUCGUGAAGCCGCUUACGCUACUACCGCAUACGUCGUACCGGUGAGUGCAGUAGAUAUUCGGGCCUUUCGCGACAGUUAUAGACGGUGUCGGAUUAGCUAGUUGGCUGGGUAAGGUCCCACCAAGGCAACGAUACGUAGCUGAUCUGAGAGGAUGAUCAGCCACACUGGAACUGAGACACGGUCCAGACUCCUACGGGAGGCAGCAGUGGGGAAUAUUGCACAAUGGGCGCAAGCCUGAUCCAGCCAUACCGCGUGGGUGAAGAAGGCCUUCGGGUCGUAAAGCCCUUUUGUUGGGAAAGAAAAGCAGUAUGAGAAAACCCCGAUGUUCUGACGGUACCCAAAGAAUAAGCACCGGCUAACUUCGUG
RNAcentral lists this ribosomal RNA (492 nucleotides) under uncultured bacterium. RNAcentral's name for it is "partial 16S ribosomal RNA". It matches the Rfam family "Bacterial small subunit ribosomal RNA", at positions 28 to 507 of the family's 1533-position model. The record is from RNAcentral.